RNAcentral lists this ribosomal RNA (483 nucleotides) under uncultured bacterium. RNAcentral describes it as "bacterial SSU rRNA". It matches the Rfam family "Bacterial small subunit ribosomal RNA", at positions 28 to 507 of the family's 1533-position model. The record is from RNAcentral.
GAUGAACGCUGGCGGCGUGCAUAACACAUUCAAGUCGAACGGAGUUGUUUUGAUUAAUCCUUCGGGAAGCGUCAAGACAACUUAGUGGCGGACGGGUGAGUAACGCGUGAGCAACCUGCCCUUGCGUGGGGGAUAACGUUUGGAAACGAACGCUAAUACCGCAUAACGUACCGAGAUUGCAUGGUUUUGGUACCAAAGAUUUAUUGCGCAAGGAUGGGCUCGCGUCUGAUUAGGUAGUUGGUGGGGUAACGGCUCACCAAGCCGACGAUCAGUAGCCGGACUGAGAGGUUGAACGGCCACAUUGGAACUGAGAUACGGUCCAGACUCCUACGGGAGGCAGCAGUGGGGAAUAUUGGUCAAUGGUCGGAAGACUGAACCAGCCAAGUAGCGUGAAGGAUGACGGUUUUCGGAUUGUAAACUUCUAUCGACAGGGAAGAAAGAAAUGACGGUAACCUGAAUAAGAAGCCCCGGCUAACCUACGUG